CAGCACCUCAAGUGGUCAGGAUGAUUAUUGGGCCUAAAGCAUCCGUAGCCGGCGCUGUAAGUUUUCGGUUAAAUCUGUACGCUCAACGUACAGGCUGCCGGGAAUACUGCAGCGCUAGGGAGUGGGAGAGGUAGACGGUACUCGGUAGGGAGGGGUAAAAUCCUUUGAUCUAUUGAUGACCACCUGUGGCGAAGGCGGUCUACCAGAACACGUCCGACGGUGAGGGAUGAAAGCUGGGGGAGCAAACCGGAUUAGAUACCCGAGUAGUCC
Molecule: ribosomal RNA, 270 nt
Filed under: uncultured archaeon
Lineage: Archaea
Description: partial 16S ribosomal RNA
Rfam family: Archaeal small subunit ribosomal RNA
Source: RNAcentral